UAACACGUGGAUAACCUACCUAUAAGACUGGGAUAACUUCGGGAAACCGGAGCCAAUACCGGAUGAUAUUUUGAACCGCAUGGUUCAAAAGUGAAAGACGGUCUUGCUGUCACUUAUAGAUGGAUCCGCGCUGCAUUAGCUAGUUGGUAAGGUAACGGCUUAUCAAGGCAACGAUGCAUAGCCGACCUGAGAGGGUGAUCGGCCACACUGGAACUGAGACACGGUCCAG
This 229-nucleotide ribosomal RNA is filed under the name uncultured Staphylococcus sp. RNAcentral's name for it is "partial 16S ribosomal RNA". It matches the Rfam family "Bacterial small subunit ribosomal RNA", at positions 111 to 334 of the family's 1533-position model. Lineage: Bacteria; Bacillati; Bacillota; Bacilli; Caryophanales; Staphylococcaceae. The record is from RNAcentral.